UACGUAGGGGCGAGCGUUGUCCGGAUUUACUGGGCGUAAAGGGUGAGUAGGCGGUUAGUAUAUGUCAGGUGUAAAAGCUAUGGCUUAACCAUAGUAAGCACUUGAAACUGUAUGACUUGAGUGCAGGAGAGGUAAGCGGAAUUCCUAGUGUAGCGGUGAAAUGCGUAGAUAUUAGGAGGAACACCGGUGGCGAAGGCGGCUUACUGGACUGUAACUGACGCUGAGGCGCGAAAGCGUGGGGAGCAAACAGGAUUAGAUACCCUGGUAGUCCCU
Molecule: ribosomal RNA, 273 nt
Filed under: uncultured prokaryote
Description: partial 16S ribosomal RNA
Rfam family: Bacterial small subunit ribosomal RNA
Source: RNAcentral